Molecule: ribosomal RNA, 253 nt
Filed under: uncultured bacterium
Lineage: Bacteria
Description: partial 16S ribosomal RNA
Rfam family: Bacterial small subunit ribosomal RNA
Source: RNAcentral
UACAGAGGUCUCAAGCGUUGUUCGGAUUCAUUGGGCGUAAAGGGUGUGUAGGUGGCGCGCUAAGUCGGGUGUGAAAUUUCGGAGCUUAACUCCGAAACUGCAUUCGAUACUGGCGUGCUUGAGGACUGGAGAGGAGACUGGAAUUCAUGGUGUAGCAGUGAAAUGCGUAGAGAUCAUGAGGAAGACCAGUGGCGAAGGCGGGUCUCUGGACAGUUCCUGACACUGGGGCACGAAGGUCAGGGGAGCAAACGGG